Molecule: ribosomal RNA, 427 nt
Filed under: uncultured bacterium
Lineage: Bacteria
Description: bacterial SSU rRNA
Rfam family: Bacterial small subunit ribosomal RNA
Source: RNAcentral
UGGGGAAUUUUGGACAAUGGGCGAAAGCCUGAUCCAGCCGUGCCGCGUGAGUGAAGAAGGCCUUCGGGUUGUAAAGCUCUUUUAGUCGGAAAGAAAGAGUUGCAAUGAAUAAUUGUGAUUUAUGACGGUACCGACAGAAAAAGCACCGGCUAACUACGUGCCAGCAGCCGCGGUAAUACGUAGGGUGCGAGCGUUAAUCGGAAUUACUGGGCGUAAAGGGUGCGCAGGCGGUCUUGCAAGUCAGAUGUGAAAGCCCCGGGCUUAACCUGGGAAUUGCGUUUGAAACUACAAGACUAGAGUGCAGCAGAGGGGAGUGGAAUUCCAUGUGUAGCAGUGAAAUGCGUAGAGAUGUGGAAGAACACCGAUGGCGAAGGCAGCUCCCUGGGUUGACACUGACGCUCAUGCACGAAAGCGUGGGGAGCAAACA